GUCUUUUUGAUAAUAAUUUAAAGUCUGGCCUGCCCUAUGAAAAAUUAAAUGGCCGCAGUAUUCUGACUGUGCAAAGGUAGCAUAAUCAUUAGUUUUUUAAUUGAAAGCUUGUAUGAAAGGUUAGAUAAGAAAAUAACUGUCUCUAUUAAAAUUAAUUAGAAUUUUAUUUUUAAGUAAAAAAGCUUAAAUGUGUAUAAAAGACGAGAAGACCCUAUAGAGUUUUAUAUUCUAAUAUUAUAAGGGUUUUAGAAUUUAUAUUUUUAUAAUAUUAUAAUAUUUAGUUGGGGUGAUUAAAAAAUUUAAUAAACUUUUUUUUUAUAGAAUCAUUGAUUUAUGAGUGAAUGAUCCUUGUUAUAGAUUAUAARAUUAAAUUACCUUAGGGAUAACAGCGUAAUUUUUUUUAAAAGUUCAAAUUUARAAAAAAGUUUGCRACCUCGAUGUUGGAUUAAAAUAAAAUUUUGGKGUARAASCUAARAAUUUGGGUCUGUUCGACCCUUAAUAUUUUACAUGAUCUGAGUUUAAACCGGCGUGAGCCAGGUCGGUU
This 544-nucleotide ribosomal RNA is filed under the name Mechistocerus violatus. RNAcentral describes it as "partial 16S ribosomal RNA". It matches the Rfam family "Bacterial large subunit ribosomal RNA", at positions 1819 to 2636 of the family's 2925-position model. Lineage: Eukaryota; Metazoa; Arthropoda; Insecta; Coleoptera; Curculionidae. The record is from RNAcentral.